CCCAUUUGAUUUUUUUUUCCACACAGUACUUAAAAUAGCAAAUAACAUGGCACAUAUCUAGUCAUCCUGUCUUACAACCCCUGCCUCUCAAGGCUCUCAGCAUCAAAAAGUAAAUGCUGAAAUAUUGGUCUUCAGAUCAUUCCUCAAAGAUCAUAUAGCAUUAGAAGAGUUUUAACUACACAGUCCAUCCAUCUUGCUUCAUUUUAUGAACAACACAUUAUUAAUUUCCUUGGCAUCCAGGGCUAUGAGCAAAGAGAUCCAUCAUUUCCAUUAUUA
Molecule: unclassified non-coding RNA, 276 nt
Filed under: Hevea brasiliensis (rubber tree)
Lineage: Eukaryota; Viridiplantae; Streptophyta; Magnoliopsida; Malpighiales; Euphorbiaceae
Source: RNAcentral